Non-coding RNA from Homo sapiens (human), 117 nucleotides. It matches the Rfam family "Metazoan signal recognition particle RNA". Rfam says of the family: The signal recognition particle (SRP) is a universally conserved ribonucleoprotein. It is involved in the co-translational targeting of proteins to membranes. The record is from Rfam. Lineage: Eukaryota; Metazoa; Chordata; Mammalia; Primates; Hominidae.
GCCGGGCAUGGUGACUCAUGCCUGUAAUCCCAGCAUUUUGGGAGGCCGAGGUGGGUGGAUCACCUGAGGUCAGGAGUUCAAAACCAGCCUGGCCAACAUGGUGAAACCCCAUCUCUA